AUGACUAGCAGUAGUCCUAAGGAUCCACUUGUAAAACCGGAAGCAAUUCCAGUAAAAGACUGUGAGAUGGCUCAAACAGGAAAGGAAACUGUAGGUAGCAUUACUUCGCCAAAAGUUGAAAAUGCUACCAAACCGUCACUUGAACAGGAUUUGAAAAAAACCCAAGUAUCCAACAAAAGUAAAGCUGCAGCCCCCAAACCAUGCAAAACGUCUAAUGUAUCUAAUUCUAAUGCUCCUAAAUCUUCCAGUUCAGCAAAUUCUGGUGGUCCAACAGCUGCUACCGCUGGUCCGCUUUCGGAGAAGAAUUUGGUAGACAGUGAAAAUCGUGAAAUCAAUUACUAUAAAACUGAAGUUGUGCUAGAUGUGCUGCCCUGUACCGAAAUUGACGAGAAUCCAGCAGAUGAAUCUGAUUGGCAAGUUUGUUCAAAACCAAAAAACAAGCGGAAACCCAGGAAACAAGAACAACAGUUAACUGAAAUAAAGGAAGGAAAUUUAUCAAGCCCUGCUGUAGAGACAACUGCCCCACAGGUGACAUGCAAAGCACCCUCCUUAAAGGAGAUAUCUCUCAAAGAAUCAGAGUGUAGUUUGUCAAACGAAGACUCAGUCAAAAAGUUAGAUGAGGUCAAACAAAAAUCUUCAAGUUCAUCCAAAAAACUUGCAUCAGCAGCAGAAGAUAAACAAAUCGUAGAAUUGAGUGAGGUUUCACAGUUAAAACAGAAUGUUUCAAAGGAGAAAAGUAGUCCAAAAGUUGUUUCAAUGCCAAAAAAAGUUGGCGGUGAAAUUGAAAAAACAGUUAAGGAUAAAGAAAAAAAGUCUACCCUUGCGGAUCCAAAAACACCCUGUAAUAUGAAAAUAAAAGAUGAUGAUGCAAGAAAAAAUUCUAAAGGAAAACCUCAAGGAUUGAUUCCUAAACAAUCGAGCAACAAAUCCGAACAAGCCGCACUUUCUUCAUUGUCAAAAGCAGACGUGACAAGUGUUAAAGAAACGAAAGAUAAAAAAUCCUCAGAAGAUUCUGCUAGGAAAGUGAAUGUAUCAGAAAAUGUCCUCUCUUCAAAUGUGGAUCCCAAAUGUUCUUCAAUAGAUACAAAACAGAAAGGCUCCCCUGCUGAGAAGUCAAGUGCAGUCCUGAUUAAGGUUGAAAAAUCGACGGGGUCCUCUCAGAAAACCAAUGGUGUUAAGACUGUAAAAGUUCCUCUCAAAAACAAUACAUCAGAAGCGAAAAGUGAGGUUGCAAGUGUUGGCAAGGUAAAUACCACCAUGAAAUCCAACAGUAAAACAAAAAAAACGGGGCACCAAACAACAAAAAUAGAUCAGCACCCAAUCCCCCCUGUUCCAGCAACUUUAGCUAACAUAGCAGAAAAGGAAAAGGGAGCCUUAAAAGGGAUUCCCUUCCAAGGGUUGGAAACAGCAUCAGAAAAGAUUAUCUCUUCAGGAACUGAAGAAAGCUCAGAUUUCUUCGAUAUCGAUUUGAACUCUGCCCAGCCUUACAGCGGUAAUAUUUUAAGCGAUGAAAUGGUUAAAGAUUUUGAAAUCGUUGAGCCAUCAUUUAGGACAGAGGCAGAGAUGAAAAUGGCUUCUGAAAUGUCCACUGAAUUGAGCUUAAUGGAUGUUAACAUGCAAGCCAUGAAUGAAUCUAUUGAUUUUUUACUAGAUGAUAAAUUCGAAGAUGAGGCACCCUUAGCCUCUGACUCAAACAUAUUUUUAUCGGACUCUUUACUCGCAGAUAGUGUUCAUUCAAUUUUAAGUCCGGUGGACAAUACUUGGAUGAAACAGACUUCCCUUUCAGGAGAACAAAUUGCAAUUAAGGACGUCCUGUUAGAUGGGUCCAACAGUGCCCCUGGGAAGAAGAAGCAGUUGAACGUCGCGGCAAAGGAAUUUGUACCUCGAUCACAAAUGAAUAUGGCUAGUAGUGUUCCCUUAUCAUUAGAUAGUAUUACUCAAGAUGCUAUGAACAUAGGGAUCUUCGGCUCGGUGAAAGAACGCGGAAAGAGUGCGAAAACAUCGAAGAUUCAAAAGCCAAAGGAGGAGCCAAGCUCUGCCUCCAAUGGAACUGCCACUGGAAUGAAUGAUUCGGAAACUUCUUCCGUAGAUCAAUGUGUCAACAUCGCAUCAAAGCCUGAUGCGCAGGAGACUGUGGAUUCCUCAGCUAAUCUUCCGGUGGAAGCGGGAUUCCAACAAUUGAUGCAGAUGUAUGGGUCAAUAAGUGGCAGUAUGAUAAUGCGGAAAGAUUAUUCUUCGAAGCUCUCGCUCGAAGAGAGAAAGAUAAGGCAAAUUCAAGAAAUAAAACGAAAGAUGAUGAGGAUGAUGAUAAUAAUGAUGAUGAUGAUGAUGAUGACAAUGAUGAUAAAAACGACCAAUCCAACGCAGACAGCAAACCUCAUGGGCCUGCGGACAAAAAAUCCAAGUAUGAUGAACAAUCAGGAUCAAAGAACGAGUCUGAAUCCACGGACGAGCAAUCGCACAAAAGUUCGAACAAACGAGACUCGAUGCUAA
RNAcentral lists this long non-coding RNA (2493 nucleotides) under Bemisia tabaci. Its description in RNAcentral is "lncRNA ENSASIAIIG013403". Lineage: Eukaryota; Metazoa; Arthropoda; Insecta; Hemiptera; Aleyrodidae. The record is from RNAcentral.